Dermacentor albipictus is the source of this 916-nucleotide long non-coding RNA. RefSeq lists it as uncharacterized. NCBI's taxonomy places the organism in Eukaryota, Metazoa, Arthropoda, Arachnida, Ixodida, Ixodidae. The record is from RefSeq and is a predicted model, not a curated record.
UCACGCUUCCACGCGCAAUCGUUCGGAAGGCGCAUCGAGCGGGCCGAGGAGGCAACGUGGCUGCCCCGAGGCUGUCGUGGCAGGCCGGGAUCAUCUUCGCAGCAGGUAGCCUCCACGGUGGCGUGCUGGCUUCCGCGGUUCCCGGUGGCGAGCUACUGCAGGGUAACGCCGGGACAUGGGCUCAAGGUGGUGCCGUUCCGGUGCUGCUGCGCGCUGUCUCGCGGUUCCUACCCAUACCAGGGAGGCCAGGUCCUUCAGCGCUCGAUCUGCGACCGGAAGGGGCUCUGGUUCAUCGGAGACUUCAUCGGUGUCAGUUCACGAGACGACGACAAUGUAGCCGGGCAACACAUAGCCCCCUGGACUCACCGGUGAGGCGUGGGUAAAGCCCUCUGCCUGGAGGAGCUGACUCGGCCACCGGCUUUUCGUUGGCUGUUGUUCGCGCAUGCGCCUGCUGUCGCCUCUGCCACGGAGGGCCGCCCAGGGAAGCCACUCAAUCCAGCCGAGGUCAAAAGACGAGGCCAGCCCGUGGGAGCUCACGAAAGCCACACUGGAGAGCGCACAGGCUCAACUGACCACGGCGCUCGCGGAAGAGGGCGAGGGCGAAGCAGGGGGUUAUGGCCACGAAGUGGCGCCGGCGACGGUUGAUACACUCCAUCGGUGCUGGAACACCUUGAAUACAGCACGCCGAAAAUCCCAUCAUCAAUCAGGAGUGUUUCGGCCGCGCUGUCAUGAGACCCCAUCGUGCUGCAUUUCGCGUGUUCAUAGCGACGAACUAUCGGGCGCGGGUCUAGCCCCAUAUCCACGCGCAAUUUCUGCGUUUAUUUUCCGUUGCGACUACCGUUCGCUUUAAUUUAUAAUUUUAGCGUAUUUAAGUGUACCUAUUCGUUUUGCCCGCUAUAUACUUAUUGAUUUAUGC